Molecule: transfer RNA, 76 nt
Filed under: Podarcis lilfordi (Lilford's wall lizard)
Lineage: Eukaryota; Metazoa; Chordata; Lepidosauria; Squamata; Lacertidae
Description: tRNA.Lys
Rfam family: tRNA (bases 6-63)
About the family: Transfer RNA (tRNA) molecules are approximately 80 nucleotides in length. Their secondary structure includes four short double-helical elements and three loops (D, anti-codon, and T loops).
Source: RNAcentral
GUUGCUAGCUCAGUUGGUAGAGCAUGAAACUCUUAAUUUUAGGGUUGUGGGUUCAAGCCUCACAUUGGGUGAAAUA